AGAUGUGCUAAAAUCUGGAACAAGGUGGAAGCUGAAAUGUUGGGAUUAUGGAAGAAUAAGCAGUCUAUAUUCACUGCUUUGGCAUAUAAGCAGGAUGCAAAGGAAGAGAUUGGUAAUAUGAUUUUUGUAAAGAAAUUUUACAAGUGUUGGAAGGAUGAGGCAGGUUUGAUGUCUGGAGAUGAUAUAGAUCUCUUUAAAAUACAGUCAUGCCUUGGUAAUAUGUUGCCACAGUAUUCUUUGCUUGUGAAACAAUUGAUUUCAGACUGGGCCAAUUUGGAUAGCUCAGAUUUUCUUACCAAGGUUAUAGAAAAGGAAAAUGCAGGUUGUUUUGACUUAAGAAAAGAUUUAGGAAAGUAAGGUUGCUUAUUAUGCUCAGGGAUUGCAACACUGUCCACCUACACAGGCUGAGAGCGUGGAUGGGAUGGAGCACAUAAAGCCCGUGGAAGGGGUGGUCAAAGAGGGGCAAGGGGAUGGAGACAG
Pelobates cultripes (western spadefoot toad) is the source of this 480-nucleotide non-coding RNA. Lineage: Eukaryota; Metazoa; Chordata; Amphibia; Anura; Pelobatidae. The record is from the annotation of a GenBank genome assembly.